AUUGAACGCUGGCGGCAUGCCUUACACAUGCAAGUCGAGCGGCAGCGCGGGGGCAACCCUGGCGGCGAGCGGCGAACGGGUGAGUAAUACAUCGGAACGUGUCCAGUAGCGGGGGAUAACCUGUCGAAAGAUAGGCUAAUACCGCAUACGACCUACGGGUGAAAGCGGGGGACCGCAAGGCCUCGCACUAUUGGAGCGGCCGAUGUCGGAUUAGCUAGUUGGCGGGGUAACGGCCCACCAAGGCGACGAUCCGUAGCUGGUCUGAGAGGACGACCAGCCACACUGGAGCGGAGACACGGUCCAGACUCCUACGGGAGGCAGCAGUGGGGAAUUUUGGACAAUGGGCGCAAGCCUGAUCCAGCCAUGCCGCGUGAGUGAAGAAGGCCUUCGGGUUGUAAAGCUCUUUCGGCGGGGACGAAACGGUCCGUGCCAACACCACGGACUAAUGACGGUACUCGCAGAAGAAGCACCGGCUAACUACGUGCCAGCAGCCGCCGUAA
Molecule: ribosomal RNA, 500 nt
Filed under: uncultured bacterium
Lineage: Bacteria
Description: partial 16S ribosomal RNA
Rfam family: Bacterial small subunit ribosomal RNA
Source: RNAcentral